Molecule: non-coding RNA, 1038 nt
Organism: Manis javanica (Malayan pangolin)
Lineage: Eukaryota; Metazoa; Chordata; Mammalia; Pholidota; Manidae
Source: RefSeq, a predicted model, not a curated record
UGUAUUUUACCAAUACGAACAACUGAAAGAGGUAACUGGUCAACAAAGAAGAAAGUGCAGAGAAGAAAUGAGAAGUGGUAACGCUGGAAAUGAUAUUUGCAGGGACUAUAAUGGAGUUAGAGAAGAGCAUGUGGACACUGCUGCGAUUUGAAGAGUAGGUAUGCAGCCAGAGGGUCUUGGUGAAGAGAAACCGACAUGAAUGAGAAAGUGGUGAGAGGAAGAGGAUGAAAUGAUGCCGACAACAACUUCUUCACCUUUAAGGUCCUGGACAUACUUCACACACUAAAAGCAUGAAGGAUAAAAUACUGGAAUCUGAUCCAGACUUCAAAGGAAGAGCAUGAAAAUUCGUCAAGGCAUAGAAAAGAUGCUUGCUCUGUAUCUUAAGUUCUAGGAUGGGGAGAAGAGGGCAAACCAAGCUACUCUUGCUCACUUGGCGGAGGUGGUUGAGUGGAAGCUGAACAAUAAUGAAUGAUACUGAUAUCGGGGUUCUUGUUCACGGAACCGAAGAAUGAACUUCGCACACACUCAAGUACCUAGAAGAGUUUCCUGAACAAAGUGAGCACCCAAUGAAGUAUUGUUGAAUGAAUGUAUGAAUGAAUGGGACAUCAACCUUCUGAAGAGGCAUGAUGAAUAGCUGCUCCCCACAUACAGAGAGAGGAGGGGGAGAUGGAGCCCUAAAUGAAGUCACAGUGUUACCUGAGGUUUGGGACAAGCUCGUUUUGAACUUGAUUUUUCUUACGCCCUCUGAAAUAGGCCUGGUUUCUGGGGGUAAAGAAACAUAAUGAUCUCAUUUUUGUCAAGAUAUUUGUCUCUCACUUCAGAGGGCAUGAGGCAGGAGAAAUCCUUCAGCUCCUGUCCACACGAAGGAAGGGUAAGUGCUCAGUUUUUCCCCUACUGCUGCAGAACCUCCCUCAUCCCAUAGUCACAGCUGUAGUUCUACUGGGCAGGGUGUGAAACCUCUCUUCCCAGUGUACUUUGGCCUUCCGCAGAUUUGUUCCCUAUACCUGUCACUCCCCAGCUGGAGCUGUUAGGUUAACG